ACGCGUGAGUAACCUGCCUUUCAGAGGGGGAUAACGCUCUGAAAAGAACGCUAAUACCGCAUGAGACUACAGAGCUGCAUGGCUCAGUGGUCAAAGGAGCAAUCCGCUGAAAGAUGGACUCGCGUCCGAUUAGAUAGUAGGCGGGGUAACGGCCCACCUAGUCGACGAUCGGUAGCCGGACUGAGAGGUUGAACGGCCACAUUGGGACUGAGACACGGCCCAGACUCCUACGGGAGGCAGCAUG
RNAcentral lists this ribosomal RNA (244 nucleotides) under uncultured bacterium. RNAcentral's name for it is "partial 16S ribosomal RNA". It matches the Rfam family "Bacterial small subunit ribosomal RNA", at positions 113 to 353 of the family's 1533-position model. The record is from RNAcentral.